This 2902-nucleotide ribosomal RNA is filed under the name Klebsiella pneumoniae. RNAcentral describes it as "bacterial LSU rRNA". It matches the Rfam family "Bacterial large subunit ribosomal RNA". The record is from RNAcentral. Lineage: Bacteria; Pseudomonadati; Pseudomonadota; Gammaproteobacteria; Enterobacterales; Enterobacteriaceae.
UUAAGCGACUAAGCGUACACGGUGGAUGCCCUGGCAGUCAGAGGCGAUGAAGGACGUGCUAAUCUGCGAAAAGCGUCGGUAAGGUGAUAUGAACCGUUACAGCCGGCGAUGUCCGAAUGGGGAAACCCAGUGCAAUUCGUUGCACUAUCGUUAACUGAAUACAUAGGUUAACGAGGCGAACCGGGGGAACUGAAACAUCUAAGUACCCCGAGGAAAAGAAAUCAACCGAGAUUCCCCCAGUAGCGGCGAGCGAACGGGGAGCAGCCCCAGAGUCUGAAUCAGCUUGUGUGUUAGUGGAACGGUCUGGAAAGUCCGACGGUACAGGGUGAUAGUCCCGUACACCAAAAUGCACAGGCUGUGAACUCGAAGAGUAGGGCGGGACACGUGGUAUCCUGUCUGAAUAUGGGGGGGACCAUCCUCCAAGGCUAAAUACUCCUGACUGACCGAUAGUGAACCAGUACCGUGAGGGAAAGGCGAAAAGAACCCGGCGAGGGGAGUGAAAAAGAACCUGAAACCGUGUACGUACAAGCAGUGGGAGCACCUUCGGGUGUGACUGCGUACCUUUUGUAUAAUGGGUCAGCGACUUAUAUUCUGUAGCAAGGUUAACCGUAUAGGGGAGCCGCAGGGAAACCGAGUCUUAACUGGGCGUUAAGUUGCAGGGUAUAGACCCGAAACCCGGUGAUCUAGCCAUGGGCAGGUUGAAGGUUGGGUAACACUAACUGGAGGACCGAACCGACUAAUGUUGAAAAAUUAGCGGAUGACUUGUGGCUGGGGGUGAAAGGCCAAUCAAACCGGGAGAUAGCUGGUUCUCCCCGAAAGCUAUUUAGGUAGCGCCUCGUGAACUCAUCUUCGGGGGGUAGAGCACUGUUUCGGCUAGGGGGUCAUCCCGACUUACCAACCCGAUGCAAACUACGAAUACCGAAGAAUGUUAUCACGGGAGACACACGGCGGGUGCUAACGUCCGUCGUGAAGAGGGAAACAACCCAGACCGCCAGCUAAGGUCCCAAAGUCAUGGUUAAGUGGGAAACGAUGUGGGAAGGCACAGACAGCCAGGAUGUUGGCUUAGAAGCAGCCAUCAUUUAAAGAAAGCGUAAUAGCUCACUGGUCGAGUCGGCCUGCGCGGAAGAUGUAACGGGGCUAAACCAUGCACCGAAGCUGCGGCAGCGACACUAUGUGUUGUUGGGUAGGGGAGCGUUCUGUAAGCCUGCGAAGGUGUGCUGUGAGGCAUGCUGGAGGUAUCAGAAGUGCGAAUGCUGACAUAAGUAACGAUAAAGCGGGUGAAAAGCCCGCUCGCCGGAAGACCAAGGGUUCCUGUCCAACGUUAAUCGGGGCAGGGUGAGUCGACCCCUAAGGCGAGGCCGAAAGGCGUAGUCGAUGGGAAACAGGUUAAUAUUCCUGUACUUGGUGUUACUGCGAAGGGGGGACGGAGAAGGCUAUGUUAGCCGGGCGACGGUUGUCCCGGUUUAAGCAUGUAGGCUGGUUAUCCAGGCAAAUCCGGAUAAUCAAGGCUGAGGUGUGAUGACGAGGCACUACGGUGCUGAAGUAACAAAUGCCCUGCUUCCAGGAAAAGCCUCUAAGCAUCAGGUAACAUCAAAUCGUACCCCAAACCGACACAGGUGGUCAGGUAGAGAAUACCAAGGCGCUUGAGAGAACUCGGGUGAAGGAACUAGGCAAAAUGGUGCCGUAACUUCGGGAGAAGGCACGCUGGUGUGUAGGUGAAGUCCCUGCGGAUGGAGCUGAGACCAGUCGAAGAUACCAGCUGGCUGCAACUGUUUAUUAAAAACACAGCACUGUGCAAACACGAAAGUGGACGUAUACGGUGUGACGCCUGCCCGGUGCCGGAAGGUUAAUUGAUGGGGUUAUCCGUAAGGAGAAGCUCUUGAUCGAAGCCCCGGUAAACGGCGGCCGUAACUAUAACGGUCCUAAGGUAGCGAAAUUCCUUGUCGGGUAAGUUCCGACCUGCACGAAUGGCGUAAUGAUGGCCAGGCUGUCUCCACCCGAGACUCAGUGAAAUUGAACUCGCUGUGAAGAUGCAGUGUACCCGCGGCAAGACGGAAAGACCCCGUGAACCUUUACUAUAGCUUGACACUGAACAUUGAGCCUUGAUGUGUAGGAUAGGUGGGAGGCUUUGAAGCGUGGACGCCAGUCUGCGUGGAGCCAACCUUGAAAUACCACCCUUUAAUGUUUGAUGUUCUAACGUUGGCCCCUUACCGGGGUUGCGGACAGUGUCUGGUGGGUAGUUUGACUGGGGCGGUCUCCUCCCAAAGCGUAACGGAGGAGCACGAAGGUUAGCUAAUCCUGGUCGGACAUCAGGAGGUUAGUGCAAUGGCAUAAGCUAGCUUGACUGCGAGCGUGACGGCGCGAGCAGGUGCGAAAGCAGGUCAUAGUGAUCCGGUGGUUCUGAAUGGAAGGGCCAUCGCUCAACGGAUAAAAGGUACUCCGGGGAUAACAGGCUGAUACCGCCCAAGAGUUCAUAUCGACGGCGGUGUUUGGCACCUCGAUGUCGGCUCAUCACAUCCUGGGGCUGAAGUAGGUCCCAAGGGUAUGGCUGUUCGCCAUUUAAAGUGGUACGCGAGCUGGGUUUAGAACGUCGUGAGACAGUUCGGUCCCUAUCUGCCGUGGGCGCUGGAGAAUUGAGGGGGGCUGCUCCUAGUACGAGAGGACCGGAGUGGACGCAUCACUGGUGUUCGGGUUGUCAUGCCAAUGGCACUGCCCGGUAGCUAAAUGCGGAAGAGAUAAGUGCUGAAAGCAUCUAAGCACGAAACUUGCCCCGAGAUGAGUUCUCCCUGAGACUUUAAGUCUCCUGAAGGAACGUUGAAGACGACGACGUUGAUAGGCCGGGUGUGUAAGCGCAGCGAUGCGUUGAGCUAACCGGUACUAAUGAACCGUGAGGCUUAACCUU